CAGUAGCCGCGGGAAUACGUAGGGUGCAAGCGUUAACCGGAAUUACUGGGCGUAAAGCGUGCGCAGGCGGUUUGUUAAGACAGAUGUGAAAUCCCCGGGCUCAACCUGGGAACUGCAUUUGUGACUGGCAAGCUAGAGUAUGGCAGAGGGGGGUGGAAUUCCACGUGUAGCAGUGAAAUGCGUAGAGAUGUGGAGGAACACCGAUGGCGAAGGCAGCCCCCUGGGCCAAUACUGACGCUCAUGCACGAAAGCGUGGGGAGCAAACAGGAUUAGAUACCCCGGUAGUCCCUGUCUCUUAUAU
This 301-nucleotide ribosomal RNA is filed under the name uncultured bacterium. Its description in RNAcentral is "partial 16S ribosomal RNA". It matches the Rfam family "Bacterial small subunit ribosomal RNA", at positions 509 to 809 of the family's 1533-position model. The record is from RNAcentral.